AUGGCGGCCGGGCGAGCGUGUGCUCUUAGCGCGGUGCUUGUGGUGGUGGUGGCGCCGCUCCUCCUGGCCGGCGUGGCGGACGCCGACUGCUUCGACUACUGCUUCAAGGACUGCAUCGCCAAGGACAAGAACAUGAUCGACUACUGCAACUACGCCUGCGACAAGACCUGCUACACGGGCGCGCCCCAGCGGCCCUUGGCGGCGGCUGCCGCCCCCGGCGACAUGGGAUGCCAGCUCUCCUGCGCCAGGACUUCCUGCCACCGUCUUGAUCCAGACCGCGAGGCCGCUGAGGCCUGCUUCGGGCAGUGCUAUGACGGCUGCAAGACCAAGACUCUGCCGAGGCCUCUCCGCGCCGGCGCCGGGAUGCCCACCACGUUAGGCCCGGUGGUCGCCGACCUUCCUUCAUCCGAGCCGGACCCGGAUGAUGCGGUCCGUGCGUCGUCAGAGGCGCCCGAACAUCAGGCGAUGGGGCCACGUACACCGUUUUCGGAGAUCCACGCUGCUCCUCCGGCGUCUGCGUAA
This 522-nucleotide ribosomal RNA is filed under the name Triticum aestivum (bread wheat). Its description in RNAcentral is "partial small subunit ribosomal RNA". Lineage: Eukaryota; Viridiplantae; Streptophyta; Magnoliopsida; Poales; Poaceae. The record is from RNAcentral.